GUUUUGGGUUUUAUGUGUCUCGCGUAGAGGCGCGGUAGCAAAACAAAAGCGAGGCAGCCAUAAAUAUACCGUGAGGCUAACGUCACAUUUCCUUUUUUAAAUAAGUUUUUUGUAGCUUCAGCUUGAUAAUAACUUCUAUAUAAUUAUCCUGUCAUCUUGAGGACGUGAUAAAAAAACGAAAAUGACGUGAAGAUACGUGUUGUGGUGACGGCGGAUUGGGAAAAGACUCUGUCGAGCUCAUGUUUGAGCUGAAUGCACCUCGUUUCUGUGGGACCUUCAGUGCUCCCGUUUGCCUUUAGAGAACCAUGUACCGCGUCGGUGGAGAGCGGGAAUUUCAGACGUCGGCCCGCCGCAUGGGCACGUCGCUGCUCUUCCAGCUGUCGGUGCAUGAGAGAGAACUGGACCUGGUGUUCCUGGACCACAGCUAUGCCAAGCCCUGGAACGCCCACCCAGAUGCUAGCAGUGCUCGGCCAACCCGCAUGCUUUUCGUCACCCCGCGCCACCAGCAGGACACCUCUGUGGAGUCUGAGAUGUCAGUGGAUGUCGAGACGGUCACAGCCACUCCCAUGCCUCUCUAUGACAACCAGAAAGCCCGGAGUGUGAUGAACGAGUGCGAACGUCACGUUCUCUUCGCUCGGACCGUUGCUGAUGGACCACUGCCUCCAGAUGACUGGGAAGAUCACAUUAACAAGACCGGGUGGACGAUGGCUCAAAACAAGCUGUUUAAUAAAGUCCUAAAGGCUCUGCAGGCCGAGAGACUUGCCAGGCUGGCUAAUGAAACUGUGUGUAACGAGCCAGUCCUGCGCCGGAUUGCGGUGGAUAAAUGUGCCCGUAAGGUUCGUCACGCGCUGGCCAGCGUGAACUGGGAUACUAAACUAACUCACUGGCUACACACCACCCUGGUGGCAUCUCUGAGCCUGGCCAUGUUGGCCGCCUACCUGGACGUCCUGCAGACCCUCAAAAGCAAGGUUCCUUCUCUGAUCGAGCGGAUGCUGUCAGCGUCAUCCACUAAAUCGGGUGCGGCGGGGGCCGAGGCGCUGUCUCUGCUCCUGAAGCGGCCCUGGGAUCCAGCUGUUGGUGUGCUGUCCCAAAACAAACCGAGUAAACUUCCUGGUUCACCUCUGAUCCUGAUGUGUCCAUCAGGACCGAUGGUGCCCACCUUCUCUACUUCCCGCAGAGUGAGAUUCUGGCAAUCGCAGCUCUCCUGUUUAGGCAAAGUCAUUCCCAUAAGCACUCACGUGGGCAGUGGUGCUAAUAUCGGCAUCACUCAGUGUCUGGAGCACUUAAUUGCCACCGUCAGGGGGAAAGUCAUCGAGAUACACAGUCACUUCCCUCACAAACCCAUCAUCCUGGUUGGCUGGAACGUUGGCGCACUGAUCGCUUGCCAUGUGUCACUUAUGGAGCAUGUGACUGCAGUUGUGUGUCUGGGUUUCCCUCUGCAAACAGUCAGUGGAUCCCGAGGGGAUGUGGAUGACCCCGUGUUGGACAUGAAGACCCCUGUGCUGUUUGUGGUGGGCCAGAAUGCGCUGCAGUGCAGCACAGAGAACAUGGAGGACUUCAGGGAGAAGAUCCGAGCAGACAACAGCAUGGUGGUCGUAGGAGGGGCUGAUGACAACCUUAGGAUCUGCUCCUCAAAGAUGAAAGCCGAAGGCCUGACACAGACGAUGGUUGAUCGCUGCAUUCAGGAUGAGAUCGUGGACUUCCUGACAGGCAUUUUGAUGCGAGCAGAGAGUCCCAGCCUCACCUCCGGGGAAACACGAGAUCUGGACGCUGAGAAGAAAAAGAAACCACGUCGUGAGUUGCCCUUUGAGACAGAAAGAUCGCGACCGUCCUCACCAGCCAUCAGGGUUCCCAUCUCCCCCUCAGGAUCAGAGGACAUGUCCAGUGUGUGCAGCAGUCCCACUGCCAGUCCCAAACCCAAGUCCACCAUGUCUUCGGCUCAGAAGUCGAGCCUCAUCACCGCCACACAGCUCCUCAAAUCACACAUGCAGCGAUCCGGAACCGUGCUCACACACAAACAAGCUCAAGCUCAGUUCGCUGCGUUUAUGAAACAGAACAUGCUGGUGAGGAAGAGUCUUCCUCCUGGCAGCCCUUCCUGUCUGUUUGUGCCCGUGUCUGGCGAACAGGUUGAAGGUUUGGAGCAGAAUGACCAGCGGCUCCAUUUGAAGAGGAGGCAGACCCCUAGUCCCACCAUCCCCACAAAGCAAUCCAAACGAGCCAAGAUCAAAGUCACCAUCGUCUCCCACGCUGACGCCGCCGGUGCCACGGUGCCUCCUGGCAUCCAGGAAGGAGUAUCUGGAAAACCCCUUACAGUCACAAUGGGCCAAACUGUAUCAGGUGCCAAAGAUCUUUCCGGACUUUUGGCCACACAAAGGGGUGGAGCUUUGACUGAUGUUUCCGGAGGUCUCAGCUCGAGUGGAGCUUCCUUCCACAGCCUGCAGGGCGGAGUCAUGCCCACCUCCUCGUCCACCCCAGCACAGGUCCAAACCUCUGCACAAGCUACCUCUGCUAGUAGCCUGUUGCAGGGCCUGAGCUUCAGCCUGCAGGAGAUCGGCACUAAGUCCCAAGUUUUACCCUCUAGCACACAGACAUCAGUAGGGAAGGCUCCGGCUCAUGGGCAGGUGUUAACCUCACUCAGUCCAGCAGGUGGCACUCUGAUGCGCGCUGUUCCCGUCGUCUCCGGCUCCGGAGUGCCUAAAAACACAGCCAUUCAUCAGCUCCUCUCCAACAGCAACCUGGCAAAGCUGGCAAACAGCCUCCCGGGAUUGGCCCACGUAGCCAAUCAGAGCGCGGGUCUUAAAGCCCCCACUACAAUCACGGUGACGUUGAGAGGUCAACCGAGUCGAGUUCCAGGUCUGGGCCACGUCGGAGCCAUACUUCCAGCUCACAACACACCUGAGCAACAGGUGGGGUUGUGGCUUAUCAUUUAAACAGCAAACAAGAGUGCGGUUUUACGGAAUACCUGCACAGAAAGAAAAGAAUCCAAAGAAGCCACGCUUACUUUAUAGCACGUCAACUAGGCAAUGUGCUUCUGGGAAAACUAACAUCUCUUCUACCUGUUUAUCUUCAUCGGAUGAACUUUCAUAUCUGAAGUCCAAACCUGCUUAUAUUAUAUACAGAUACUCUCAGAGUUACGAUAGUUCGGCUUACGAAUUUUCGAUAUUGCGAUGUACGAUAGCGAUACGACAAAAUUGUACAAAUAUUUUACAUUUCGCACGGCAGGCGAUCGUAGCAGCGUAUAUGGUACGAUACGUUGGGAACCCGCCCUGAUUUGUUUCAGUGUCAACGUUAGCGUUUUUUCAGUUGUUUUUUUUUUGCUCCUUUAUCAUCGCCCUCCUCAUCUUCUGACAAACUAAGUUAAUGUAGCCAUCAACAACCUAACAUUGUUCAAGUAUGCAGAUGUCGGACAGAAUCUCGUUCACCACUAUCCUUCCAGUGAACACAAGCUCCAUGGGAAAGGUUCACGCUGUGUGAAGUGCCCUUGACGCUCUCGAUGGCUUUGUCUGUAAACAGAGAGCUGAGGCUCUGAGGAAAAACGCUUGGAUGUCGCUGAUCGCCGCCUGACCGCACGGUUCAUCAUCUUUACCUGCUUUACCUCCGUGAGCGGGUUUGGACCAGCUUUGUACUCCAUUCAACGUAUGCUUUUGACCAGCUAUGGUUCUAAAAAGAAGAAGGACAUGAGGAUAUAAUAUCAGUGUUUUACUAUAAAUGUAGGAUGAAUGAGUCGAUGAUUAGUCAGUGAACAUGGUACAGAUGUGUAUACUCUGUGGAUGACAAUAAACUUUAAACUGGA
Tachysurus fulvidraco (yellow catfish) is the source of this 3793-nucleotide RNA transcript. It is a transcript of the gene named KAT8 regulatory NSL complex subunit 3, with no coding region annotated. The record is from RefSeq and is a predicted model, not a curated record. The transcript is spliced from 22 exons. Lineage: Eukaryota; Metazoa; Chordata; Actinopteri; Siluriformes; Bagridae.